RNAcentral lists this long non-coding RNA (223 nucleotides) under Coturnix japonica (Japanese quail). RNAcentral's name for it is "lncRNA (ENSCJPG00005000743.1)". Lineage: Eukaryota; Metazoa; Chordata; Aves; Galliformes; Phasianidae. The record is from RNAcentral.
UCCCACUAACUGGCUUUUGCUACAUGAAAACUGAAGAGCAGGCCACAUCCUCUGCUCAACCAAAUAAAACUUGCUGAAACAAGGGCCCAACUUUGCUGAGAAGGGGAUGAUUUCUUAUGAAGUAGCCAUUCUGCAGGACAACAAAAAGAUGGAGGGACAUUUAACAGAAUCUGAGGGAAAUACCUGAAAAUACAUUAGGCAUCUGCAGGACAUCACUUAUUUC